RNAcentral lists this ribosomal RNA (460 nucleotides) under uncultured bacterium. RNAcentral describes it as "partial 16S ribosomal RNA". It matches the Rfam family "Bacterial small subunit ribosomal RNA", at positions 338 to 795 of the family's 1533-position model. The record is from RNAcentral.
CCUACGGGAGGCAGCAGUGAGGAAUAUUGGUCAAUGGCCGUAAGGCUGAACCAGCCAAGUCGCGUGAAGGAAGAAGGGUCUAUGGUUUGUAAACUUCUUUUAUAGGGGAAUAAAGGUAUCCUCGCGUGGAUAUUUGCAUGUACCCUAUGAAUAAGCAUCGGCUAACUCAGUGCCAGCAGCCGCGGUAAUACGGAGGAUGCGAGCGUUAUCCGGAUUUAUUGGGUUUAAAGGGAGCGUAGGUGGGUUCUUAAGUCAGCAGUGAAAGUUUGUGGCUCAACCAUGAAAUUGCCGUUGAAACUGGUAGACUUGAGUGUGUGAGAGGUAGGCGGAAUGCGUGGUGUAGCGGUGAAAUGCAUAGAUAUCACGCAGAACUCCGAUUGCGAAGGCAGCUUACUGGGCCAUAACUGACGCUGAAGCACGAAAGCGUGGGGAGCAAACAGGAUUAGAUACCCCAGUAGUC